AUGCAGCAACGACGAUUUCGGCUCUGCCGAUGAGGGAGGGAUAUGUUUUCUGCAUUUAGAGUGACAGAGUUUCAAGUAGAUUUAUGGCCGUAUGGUGGUGAUGCGCAGUGUCGAUGUCCAGCUUUAUGACGGUGCUUAAAAUGGUAUUCGCGAUUGAAAUGCGACCAGCGAGGCGGCGACUGCUAGAAGGUGGUGUAGGGUGAAACAGGACGAAGGACCCAGAGAUGACGACGCUACGAUGAAAGUAUUCCGUAUGUUUAUAUAGAGUUAUAAAACCCCCCGAUUCUUGACCAAGCCACUGCAAUGGCUGUGGACCGCAGUGUUUCGGCGAACAAGAUCGAUAAGUUGUCGACGAUCGAUCGAUGCUCUUCAUCCAAGGAGAAGCUUGCUUGUCAGCUCAGUAGGGUAACGUGUAUGUGGCCUCACUUGACAGUAUUUAACAACAAUCUACUCGCGACAGAAGCAGCCGCGUUCCUGGUUACAAGGUUGUGAAUGCCGAAUGCAACGCCAAACAGGACCUUGCGCUAUACUUCGUCAAUUAUCGUGUGUGAAGUCUACGACAAAAGGAGUUGCGGAAGAGAGCAUUCGCGGAAACGCGUGACUGCUUGCCAGUUUGUGUGGAUGCGCCUAUGACGGGAAGCUAUUGCGUGAACUGCGUGCCAGCUGAAGUCGGCGAGUUGUGGUAAUGUGCGAGUGAGUUCCCCUAAACGAUUGCCGCCGAGUGAACGCAGUGGGAGUGACAACCAAAUGUGAGCACAAAUGUUUUGGUGCGGCGAGUGUUAGCGCAGAAGAGUCUCGUUCAGCCUUCAAGCCUUGUUAAAAGACUUGGUUGGUGAAGUUGCACGGCACAAUUACACAAAUAAUGAUGGGAAUUAACAGUUACACAUCUUUAAACUAUGGCUUGUCCCACUCUCCCCUAAUUGAUUACAUACCCCCCGCGUCGUAUGUUCUUUUCGCGGGUAAACGCACGCGAGCGGGGCCUGUGAACGCGGCCGAAGCAUGGGGUUUCGGAGAUAGGGGCCUCUCCUUAAAAUUUUAGUUAAGAUUUAUCUGUGCAGUAGCAAUAAGAUAUACACAGCUUGAUUAGCACACUCUGGUCCCCGAAAUGCGUGUGACCGGCAGAAUCGCCUGCCAACUUGGUCAUGCAACAGCAAUAAUAGAAAGGCUCCCUGUUCUGGCAGCCUCCUUGUAACCGCUCCCCCUCCCCUCAAUAUGGAUGCACCCCCUGCAAAAAAUUCUCAGGAUGUCCUUGGGCUGAUUAUUGAUUUGUGGGGUUCAACGUCCCAAAACCACGAUAUGAUUAUGAGAGACGCCGUAGUGGAGGGCUCCGGAAAUUUUGACCACCUGGGGUUCUUUAACGUGCACCCAAAUCUGAGCACACGGGCCUACAACAUUUCCGCCUCCAUCGGAAAUGCAGCCGCCGCAGCCGGGAUUCGAACCCGCGCCCUGCGGGUCAGCAGCCGAGUACUGCCCUUGGGCUGAAGCGCAGAUGGAAUGAGCUGGCCCAUUUCUAUCACUGGGAGGGUGCAUGUCAUAACAUCUCAUGUAUUAGACCGGUCAAAUGCUGGAGCAGAGAAGAAAUGCCCUGUCUGUUUUUAACAAUUGUGGAAGGACGCGGGGAGGGUGGGUCUUGCUUGAGCAGCGACUGUGAACUUUGAUUCUAAGGGUACAAUGAUGAUUGCUGGAGCGUACUUUCGUGACAGUCAUGAGUAAUUAGCUUAUAUACCCUUCUAUGUGCUGCGCUCUUUAUGCGAGGAUACUGUGUGAAAACAGCAUAUCUUGCUGGAGUUGUCCACAUUAACUUACAUCAGAGCUUUUGAUAUUGGAUCCAAAAGAGUUAGCUUCCAGCCUUACUUCGUAUAAUAUGACGAUUUGUUGUACCACAUUUGUUGCUUCAACCCUUGUGGUGAAACUGUGAUUUUUUUUUUGUUCGUUUGCCACUAUCUACGAGCUUCGUCAGCAUGGCCACAUCAGCAGAAAUGGACUUUUGAAGAAGAUACAUUCAAGCGAUUAAUCUGUGUGUGCUGGCAAGGAGAGAACACCGAGAAAAAUUGAGGAACACUUCAUGGUCACUGUGCAUCUUUGGUACUAAAAAAACUGUUGCCACCUGGAGGCAUCUUUUUCAAGCAUGAAUGCCGGAACACUGGGAAGUGUCUUGCAUAGCAGCUGCUGAGUGCAUGUGCCCUAGCUUCCUAAAAGAUAAGGAAGAAUCGUCGAAGGACUCUCACAUUGGUGCCGCUACUGCAGCAAGUGUUUUUCUUCCAAAAAGCAACCCAGACAGCCACAUGCCUUUACUGGCGAGAGACUGUUCCACCAUCACUUCUACGCUAUGAACAUUGCACAAAAAUGCUGCAUUUUCUGCCGCAUACAAAACUGACCGUAUAAAAGCCAUUUCAGCGUCUCAUUUGCCCAGUGACAUUCAGCUACAUGUCAUAUAUAUGAAGCUUCAGGAUAAAGUACAUGUGCGGCAGAUCAUGCGUUUUCUGCGAGGCACUGCCACUGACAUUAUUUCUUUUUUACCAGACUUGUGAAUUUAUUGACUUUGUGCUGUUUACAACGUGUUACUCUGCGUUUUUAUGGCAAUAUGAAAAACUUAAGUUGCUCGUUUUAUUGUAGUGUUUCAAUAUUGAAAGCUCAUUAUCUGUUUACCAAAUAGCAUCAGCUUCUCUCUUCUCAGUUCAUCAUUAGUGUGCAAUUUUUUGUUCCACCAAUGCCGAUGUAGGUGAAAUGUUUUUGUUCUCCAUUGAAUGUGCUUCACGAAUCAGUGUUUUAAGUGUCUUUAAUGCAACUCUUUGUGUCCCAGCUGCCUUGGACAUAUCUAGAUUAGGGUUUAACUACUGUAUACAUAUCUGCAUAAAAUAACGGUAUUAUUUUUUUUAAGAAUGGGUUACUUAAACUCAUAAUAUCCAACAGAUUGCAUAAAGGAAAAGAAAUAACUACAUUUUAAUAAUUUACCCCAGGAGAAAUGCAGGAAGAAAAAAAAGUGUUUGCUUGCAACAACUGUUAUUUUUUUUUGCUAAGAGUAACCAGCAAAUGCUAGAGCACUUACUCUGUUUGCCUUGAGCAUGCAAGGCCUUAUUUAUUUUUCUUACAUUCUAUUGCUUGUACAUAAAGUUGUGGAUUUCCAUUAGCAGAUUUCACCCAUAGCACUUAUAAGGCACAUCAUUGACCAGUUCACCAUGAAGCAUACAAGUGCUCUCGUAAACGAAGUGCUUGUCAGACAAAAGCUCAUCGACAUCAAUGUUGCAGCCAUAUAGGUAGAUUGGUGCAGUGCCUAUAAAGGCGCAUUACUAUAUUCCUAUUUUGUGGAAACAACUGUGCGAAUUUAAUGUCUUGGAAAAGGCAAGAAAGGAUAAUGGUGGUUGAAAAUAAAAACCACACUGGGUUCGUGGAUGUCUUCUUGCAAAACUGUCCUUUUUUUUUUCACAAUUGAAAGCAUUCUUCGAUGACUGUGGUUACAACACCUAUCAGCUCGUACAUUUCAUGUGCACUGGUUGUUUAUCAGUUCGUUAGUGUAGCUGUUACACUAAACUACAUCGUCUUACAGGUGUGUCUAUACAC
Molecule: long non-coding RNA, 3561 nt
Filed under: Rhipicephalus microplus (southern cattle tick)
Lineage: Eukaryota; Metazoa; Arthropoda; Arachnida; Ixodida; Ixodidae
Description: uncharacterized LOC119163818, transcript variant X2
Source: RNAcentral